Molecule: ribosomal RNA, 265 nt
Filed under: uncultured bacterium
Lineage: Bacteria
Description: partial 16S ribosomal RNA
Rfam family: Bacterial small subunit ribosomal RNA
Source: RNAcentral
ACAAUGGGUGAUACAGAGGGCCGGCCGCUGGCAACAUCGGUCCAAUCCUUAAAGUCAUCCUCAGUUCGGACUGGGGUCUGCAACCCGACCCCACGAAGCUGGAUUCGCUAGUAAUCGCGCAUCAGCCAUGGCGCGGUGAAUACGUUCCCGGGCCUUGUACACACCGCCCGUCAAGCCAUGAAAGCCGGGGGCGCCUGAAGUCCGUGACCGCGAGGGUCGGCCUAGGGUGAAACCGGUGAUUGGGGCUAAGUCGUAACAAGGUAGC